CACGUAGGCGGACUUUUAAGUUGGGGGUGAAAUCCCGGGGCUCAACCCCGGAACUGCCUUCAAAACUGGGAGUCUUGAGGUAUGGAGAGGGAAGUGGAAUUCCUGGUGUAGCGGUGAAAUGCGUAGAUAUCAGGAGGAACACCCGUGGCGAAGGCGGCUUCCUGGCCAUAUCCUGACGCUGAGGUGCGAAAGCUAGGGGAGCGAACGGGAUUAGAUACCCCGGUAGUCCUAGCCGUAAACGAUGGAUACUAGGUGUUAGAGGUAUCGACCCCUCUAGUGCCGCAGCUAACGCAUUAAGUAUCCCGCCUGGGGAGUACGGCCGCAAGGCUGAA
Molecule: ribosomal RNA, 332 nt
Filed under: uncultured bacterium
Lineage: Bacteria
Description: bacterial SSU rRNA
Rfam family: Bacterial small subunit ribosomal RNA
Source: RNAcentral